CACUGUAAAGCUACCAGCAUUAACCUUUUAAGUUAAAGAUUGAGAGAGCCCCCUCUCUCUACAGUGA
RNAcentral lists this transfer RNA (67 nucleotides) under Ateles paniscus (red-faced black spider monkey). RNAcentral's name for it is "tRNA-Lys". Lineage: Eukaryota; Metazoa; Chordata; Mammalia; Primates; Atelidae. The record is from RNAcentral.